RNAcentral lists this long non-coding RNA (357 nucleotides) under Gossypium barbadense (sea-island cotton). Its description in RNAcentral is "long non-coding RNA (GBAR_LNC002589)". The record is from RNAcentral. Lineage: Eukaryota; Viridiplantae; Streptophyta; Magnoliopsida; Malvales; Malvaceae.
CAUUUAUUUCAUUCCUCAUCAAUUUUCCAAAGCUUAAAACAGCGCCCUUUUAACUAGUUUAUUUUUAAAUACUAAACGCGUAGAAACAAUUAUAUAAGAAACAAAGAAAAAGAAGAAAAUACAGACCAGAGAAGGGAAUGGAGCGAUCGACGGCGAGGACACGGGUUUCACCGCCGUAAUAACGGAGUUUGCCGUCAGGGUAACGAGGGACGAUUUUUCCGCCGUAACUACAGAGGAACUUGAUGGUGGUUUUAGUUCCAACCAUGCUUUUUGGAGGGUAGUUGAGAGUGGAAGGCAGAGGAGGUUGAAGAGGAGAAGGCGGCGGGGAAAGAUGGUAUGUUUUGUUGUCUGGUGGCG